This is a non-coding RNA of Acyrthosiphon pisum (pea aphid), 72 nucleotides long. Lineage: Eukaryota; Metazoa; Arthropoda; Insecta; Hemiptera; Aphididae. The record is from RefSeq and is marked provisional.
UUAUAGAUAAUACAAGCAUAUAGUUUUUUUUAUUUUUUUUUCAAACGUAUAUGCUUGUACAUAUCUAUAUCU